AGGACCCUGCCGUUCAUUUGAAUCAACUGCUUUUCUAUUGAGAUUCCACAAGCUACAAGAAGGGGAUCAUCGUCAUAGCUGUAGUCCCUCACAGCAUCUGUUAUAACUUUAAUUCUUUCACGAGGCUUCUGCCUUGAUUUUUCAACUAAAGAUGCCCUCUGGACCGAUGAUAAUGCCUUUGUGUAUCUUUGAAGGGAGACCAAAUAACACAGCUCCAGUGGCAGAUAGUUUGGUCGUUUUGGUUUUCCAACGUCCAGACAUGGCAUAUAAACUGAGGAUGAAAGUUCUAUGUUACGAUGUUUAGUGAAAUACUGAUAAACAGUUAUAUCUAGGGUCUCUCCUCCAUCAUCUGGACUACCACCAUUUUUGACCUUCAUA
Molecule: unclassified non-coding RNA, 378 nt
Filed under: Hevea brasiliensis (rubber tree)
Lineage: Eukaryota; Viridiplantae; Streptophyta; Magnoliopsida; Malpighiales; Euphorbiaceae
Source: RNAcentral